RNAcentral lists this ribosomal RNA (253 nucleotides) under uncultured bacterium. Its description in RNAcentral is "partial 16S ribosomal RNA". It matches the Rfam family "Bacterial small subunit ribosomal RNA", at positions 524 to 776 of the family's 1533-position model. The record is from RNAcentral.
UACAGAGGUCCCAAGCGUUGUUCGGAUUCACUGGGCGUAAAGGGUGCGUAGGUGGUGAGGUAAGUCUGAUGUGAAAUCCCGCAGCUCAACUACGGAACUGCAUCGGAUACUAUCUUGCUAGAGGGUUUGAGGGGGGACUGGAAUUCUCGGUGUAGCAGUGAAAUGCGUAGAUAUCGAGAGGAACACCAGUGGCGAAGGCGAGUCCCUGGAAAACUCCUGACACUGAGGCACGAAAGCUAGGGGAGCAAACAGG